This 925-nucleotide non-coding RNA is filed under the name Strigamia maritima. RNAcentral's name for it is "Eukaryotic large subunit ribosomal RNA". It matches the Rfam family "Eukaryotic large subunit ribosomal RNA", at positions 31 to 664 of the family's 3401-position model. The record is from Rfam by way of RNAcentral. Lineage: Eukaryota; Metazoa; Arthropoda; Chilopoda; Geophilomorpha; Linotaeniidae.
AAUUUAAGCAUAUCAUUAAGCGGUGGAAAAGAAACUAACAAGGAUUCCCCCAGUAACUGCGAGUGAAAAGGGAAGAGCCCAGCGCCGAAGCCGCCGUCCAUCACAGUGGGCGGAGGGCAAUGUGGCGUUAAGGAAGAGCCUUCUUGACCUGACGUUUCGUUGUUCGGACCGCGGGAGCCCGAGUCCCCCUGACCGGGGCCACUGCCCAUGGCGGGUGCAAGGCCUCUUCGGCUCCGUUCGACGGUUCGAAGGUUGCUGGCUUCCUUCCUCAGAGUCGGGUUGCUUGAGAGUGCAGCCCUAAGCGGGUGGUAAACUCCACCUAAGGCUAAAUAUCACCACGAGACCGAUAGCGAACAAGUACCGUGAGGGAAAGUUGCAAAGAACUUUGAAGAGAGAGUUCAAGAGUACGUGAAACCGCUCGGAGGCAAACGGGUGGGCCCUCGAAGGUCGAACGGGGGAAUUCAGCCUGUCGGCGAGCGCUUCCUGAUUUUGAAAGAAAAAUAGUACCGUCGAAAAGCAUUCGUGCGAAACGGAUCCGAGAAACCCAAAAAGCGGACCGGGCGGCAGGAGAGAUUUUACAAAAGCGUUCGUCGGCUCGUGCACUUUCCCCUUAGUAGGACGCCGCGACCGGUCGGGUCGAUAAAAGUUUUGCGGCCAUGAGGCGAGAACGAUCACGGAGGCAGGUGCCGUUUCCGCGGGUCUCGCGGUCAGGGGGCUUCGGCGAUUCGCGUCGUCGUCGCACCUCGCGCGUCUCCCAGGUUCGGAGUUACAGCCUCUUCUCGACCCGUGCACCGCCACCCGACCGACAAAUGGUCACGAAUCCGUAGACGCGUGCCCGCGUGUAGUCAAAUACAACGCUCGCCCUAGUCCAGGGCAGGCCGGAUGCGCGAGUAAAAGUCCCACCUCGGCCCGUUAUCAAACGCGG